CGUUCUAUUUCUACUGAAUUAGUAGUGGGGCCUCUAUUUAGCCAGUAUCAUGUAAUAUUAAGCUAAUACAGUGUCAGUUUAUGUUCAAAUCCUUGCAGAGGGAUUGGGCAGACAAUCGUUAAUCCUGAAUUUUGUUCAUGUUCCGGGGGCAGCUAUUUUCUCUGAGUUCAAGCACUAUAAACCCAAGAAGGGUUUAAUAAAAAAUAAUUAAAAAAAAGAUGAAAUGUAAAAUACAAUCAUAGAACAGAUUAAAUGUACAAUAACAGAACAGCAUGAGUUGCCUAUAAGCAGAUCACACUCGAGAAAUAAAAAGUGUGAAAAUGUCAUGUCUGAGUGCCUUCACGGGGAUAUGGUAAACAUGUACGCUAGUAAAUUCCCUUCGCUGGCCACUUAAUGCGCUUUUAAUGCAUCUCUCAAUUAGAUUGACAACUACAGUGUGUCAGUUUAACUACAGUAGAGUUUCCCACAUAGUGGGUCAGAAUCCACAUGGUGAGUUGUAGCAAGUUUCUACAGAAUAAACAGGUAAUUUAUGAAAACUUUGGGUGGGAUAUGUGUGACUGUCUGGGUUCCAACACAAAAUGUUUUGCCUUCAUGGAAAUGGAUGAGAUCAAACCUGGUCCCAUUGUGAUCGAGUUGUACAAGAAGCCUACUGACUUCAAGAGGAAGAAGCUCCAGCUCCUGACCAAGAAGCCACUCUAUCUCCACCUCCACCAGACGUUGCACAAAGAUUAAUAACCGAGGUCACAGAGUAGAGCACAUCAAGAAAGCAGCAGCGCCACAGAAUUCCACUGUAGUCAUCAGACAUCCAGUAAAGUUUGGUGUAGCGACUCCCUAUCCGCCUCCACUCACAUCAACAAUACUAAACCCAGCAGGCCCAAAUGCCACAACCUCAACUCUGUGAUAGGACGGCCCUGGAUGACACAUAUUAACUACAGCGGUGACAGCACACUACUGUAUAAUGCUGCUUCGUAACCCAGUGGGAGGUGGGAAUUUACCAGUUGUGAAGUCGUAAAUACCAGUUGGAUGCAUUCAACUUGUUGAGAAAAGAUCAUUUGGCUAAUGGCCAACAAGCUGCCUAAACCAUAAACUAAAAGCUAUCAUGCUGGUAAACAAAUGAGUGUUAAAAAACAUAUUAAUAGAUUGCUUUUUAUAAAGAAUGUUUUGUUGCAUUUAAUUGCAGAAAAAUGCUGUUAUCCAGGUCAUUUCCUAAAUGGUGACGUCAGAGGUCAGCAUGUGGGAGAAGUGGGAGCUCAGGAUGAUGUAUGAGUUUCCCACUAGUAAUUACCAGUUGGAGGGCCUUUCAAAUGGUAAAUUCCCACUUGGUUACAAAACGCAGUAUUUGACCCCUCUGGUGCCAAUUAGCGAUCACUUUUUUUCUCCUCUCUGCAUGAUGCUCAAUGGAAAAGAAGAGUUGAGUUAGCAAUUGGUACUGUAUGUCAAACAACCAGCCUCGUCUUUAGUCUUCCUCUGCCUUUCCCUUUGGGGAUGAAAGAGAAUCAACAUGAUCAUAGGUGCUCAAGCGGUCUAUUGAUGAUGUCAUAUCCUGGUGCUGACACUGCCACAGUGAAAAUAUAUAACUGCCCUGUUCAUUUACUUACAUCCUUAUCACUGAUCUGGCGUUAUUUAAUAGGUAAAAGUAAUAUAUUGGGAUAUUUGCUUUAAUCUAUCACAUUAGAUGUGUGAUUACUUCAAGGAUGGGAGGAAGGAUGCCUUUUUUAGCAUUCAAAAAUGAUUCUGAGAUGCUAUGAUGUCAUCCUGUUAUAAAGGGAGUUGAAAAGGAUGCUGCAUGUAACUGAAGUUGACUUUUACCUUUGUUUUGAAUGCUGUUCCCAUCAAGGCCACACUGGCUAACCACUAUUAAAACAUUGUCUCCAUUUUAUUCAUAUUUUUUUGUAAUGGCACUAACUGAAUACACUUAUGGUGCUUUCAAGACAACUGGGAACUCUGAAAAAAAUUUGGUCAAAUCAUGACGUCAGUGAUCAUCGGGUCGAAAAGUCAGAGCUCUAGAAAGGUGCCAGAGUUCCCGACGUGGAAUUCCGAGUUGGAUGACUUAAAAGAUUUCUCCCAGUCGGAGCUCGUUUUUUUCAGAGGUCCCAGUUGUCUUGAACACACUGAAGUUGGAGAUUACUGAGUUCCCAGUUGUUUUGAACACGGCAUUAAGAGACACUAAUCAGUGACAAUUUACACUGCUUUCAUUUUUAAUAAACAAAAUGCUGUUUGAA
Salvelinus fontinalis (brook trout) is the source of this 2222-nucleotide long non-coding RNA. RefSeq lists it as uncharacterized. NCBI's taxonomy places the organism in Eukaryota, Metazoa, Chordata, Actinopteri, Salmoniformes, Salmonidae. The transcript has 2 exons. The record is from RefSeq and is a predicted model, not a curated record.